GGCUGUAUGAGGGUAACGAUGUCGCUGAAGAUAAAGACAUGGAGACAUCACAGUCUGACUGCUUAGCUGCUGUGACAUUUCAUACCGCUGAUCCCAAGAUGUCAAAGCAUCCUGACGUGUUCACAUGUGAAAUGACUAAUGUUCACAACGGAAAGGUGGAGCAGUUUACUUUCAGCCGUCAGUCCUCACGAGAGAAAACAGGUGAUGAAAAAACAACCACAACUACAUCGUCCCCAGUGACAAAUAAAUCGCCAUCAACAACAGGAAAUGAGUGGACGUCGGUGAAAACGAGCACAUCAUUCGAGACGAACUCAGCAGCAUCUGCAAACAACAGCGAUGGAACGCAACAGGAAGGUUGGUGGUGGUUCAUCGUUGUGUCUGCGGGUUUAGCAUGCUUCUUAAUAAUCCUUGUGGCCGUCAUCAGACGGUUGAGAGCUGAAGGGAACAAACUGCCGACUAAUGAACACAUGGCUGAAGAUGGUGCUUUGUAUGUCAACUUACGCUACACCAGGAACACCAACCAGCGACAGUUUCAGGGUUAUGACUGCGAUGAAGGCGACGUAGCCACCUACAGCACAAUGAGACCAUACUCCUCAUUUCGCACAGCCUCCACCGUUCCCCAUGACUCCUACGCUACGGUCAACAAACCAAGAAAAAAGAAGUCAGCUAAGAAAUGCAACAUCUGACAUGGCCGAUUUGGUCAUGUUUUCUCUUUCCUUGGCUUAACUGUGGCAAAGUGAGAAUAACAGCUGCAUGACAAUCGGCCGAGAGGAAAAGCAAUCAAUUCAGCCUUCGUGCCAAAAGCUUACCCAAGAUUAUUUUACUGCAAAUUAAAGCUGCAAACAGGAACCAAUAACUGAUAAACCACCGACACACCACCAUGUCCUAUCACAUGCCAGUCGGUCGGUCCCGUUUUGACUUGACACGUACAACUUUUUGUCAGUACUUUGGUUUUGGCAGACGAUUUCACAUGUAAAACAACUUCCAUACCGUUUCUCUUGUUUGCUUCACUGCUGUAAGUAGAUUUUUGCUUCACAUCGCAGCCGCUCGUUUGAGUUUAAAAAGGAACACGUCAUCCAAAAAAGAUUCCAAUUCAAUCGUUACGAUGUAAAGUUAGUUGAAGUUUUGUAGUCCACCAAACAUUUCUGGAGCUUCACAGCCACACAGCAUUCUCCCAAACAACUAAAGCAGAUGGGGACUUUUAUUAAAACAGAGAAAAAUUCAAUGAAAUGGCUCCACACAGCUAUUUUUGACACCAUCUACGUGCGGUCGAGCACCCAGAUGGGGUGCACGCUAAUGUUUUUAGCGUAGCAGAUACAGUAAAGUUUUCAUCUUAAAAGGUACAAAUGUCUUCAGAAGUCGAUUUGGGAUCUCCGGGCCUCCAGACACUAGGAUUACACCAGAUUAUGUCUUUUUCACAUUUUGAAACAAGUCCCCGUCUUCUUGAGUUGUCCAGAAAGAUGCUGAAAUGCUGAUUUGCUGUGAAGCUCCAGAAAUGUUUGGUGGACUACGAAACUUCACCUGACUUUCCAUCUACAUGGGGAUGAGUACAUGAUGACUGAACUUCUCAUUUUUUGUGAACUGUUCCUUUAAGAUUCACAGGUUUUAUUCAAGGUGCAGAUAUUUUUUGCUUUUGUUCCUCGUUUGUACAGAAGCAUAUGAUUUUGAUUUUAUGUCAAUGUAAGCAUCGUGGACUUUAAGCUUUAAUUAACAAUCUUUUCUUACUCAUGUCUGGUAACAUAGUAUGCAAAUUAAAAAAAGACGUUUAUUCAACUUUCAAGGUGUUUCUGGUGUUUGGUUUUGCGGUUCUGUCUCUCUUUCUCAAGGACACGCUGUUACGUGGCGGCAAUGCAGGUGAACCAGGGUGCGGACGCAGACAGGGUGGUAACAGAUGAUCGUGUAAAAGUCUGUGUGAGUGAAGAGCUGGUAGCUAGGGGGCAGAUCUAGGCUGGUCCAGAGGGGGCAGACGAGCAGGGUGACUCCUCACCUGUCAGCAUGAAUCUUGUCGGUAUCCUAUGAGGGGCACGUUCUUUUUCCAAGAAAGCGCAAACAUUUAUUUGAC
RNAcentral lists this long non-coding RNA (2062 nucleotides) under Sparus aurata (gilthead seabream). RNAcentral describes it as "lncRNA (ENSSAUG00010019444.1)". Lineage: Eukaryota; Metazoa; Chordata; Actinopteri; Spariformes; Sparidae. The record is from RNAcentral.